Molecule: ribosomal RNA, 253 nt
Filed under: uncultured bacterium
Lineage: Bacteria
Description: partial 16S ribosomal RNA
Rfam family: Bacterial small subunit ribosomal RNA
Source: RNAcentral
UACGUAGGGUGCAAGCGUUGUCCGGAAUUAUUGGGCGUAAAGAGCUCGUAGGCGGUUUGUCGCGUCUGCCGUGAAAGUCCGGGGCUCAACUCCGGAUCUGCGGUGGGUACGGGCAGACUAGAGCGAUGUAGGGGAGACUGGAAUUCCUGGUGUAGCGGUGAAAUGCGCAGAUAUCAGGAGGAACACCGAUGGCGAAGGCAGGUCUCUGGGCAUUAACUGACGCUGAGGAGCGAAAGCAUGGGGAGCGAACAGG